This is a transfer RNA of Trichoderma virens Gv29-8, 88 nucleotides long. It matches the Rfam family "tRNA". Rfam says of the family: Transfer RNA (tRNA) molecules are approximately 80 nucleotides in length. Their secondary structure includes four short double-helical elements and three loops (D, anti-codon, and T loops). Further hydrogen bonds mediate the characteristic L-shaped molecular structure. tRNAs have two regions of fundamental functional importance: the anti-codon, which is responsible for specific mRNA codon recognition, and the 3' end, to which the tRNAs corresponding amino acid is attached (by aminoacyl-tRNA synthetases). tRNAs cope with the degeneracy of the genetic code in two manners: having more than one tRNA (with a specific anti-codon) for a particular amino acid; and 'wobble' base-pairing, i.e. permitting non-standard base-pairing at the 3rd anti-codon position. The record is from Rfam. NCBI's taxonomy places the organism in Eukaryota, Fungi, Ascomycota, Sordariomycetes, Hypocreales, Hypocreaceae.
UCCGAUAUGGUGUAGUGGCUAACAUCGCUCGCUCUCAACUUCUGGUUGAAGCACCGAGCAGCCCUGGGUUCGAUUCCCAGUAUCGGAG